Long non-coding RNA from Oncorhynchus nerka (sockeye salmon), 309 nucleotides. RefSeq lists it as uncharacterized. NCBI's taxonomy places the organism in Eukaryota, Metazoa, Chordata, Actinopteri, Salmoniformes, Salmonidae. The record is from RefSeq and is a predicted model, not a curated record. The transcript has 3 exons.
GGUGGUGAUGUACUUCCUGUGGCAGGUGACUCAGGGUCGUAAACGUCUCAUCAUGUCUCUACGGGAACAGAUCGUCAACGAGGGGAAGGACAAGGCCUUUCUCCUCAGGAGGUUACAGUGUCUACAGAGACAGGGAGCAGGCAGACCUAGACCACAGGUGCACUUCGAGGAGGAGAGAGCGACCAGGCCAGAGUCAGGGCAGCUUAGAGAAGAAGCACGCCCUCCUCCCUCCUUCCAACACCCAUCCCCCCCCAUGGAGGCCCCCUCCGUGUUCACUCGGCCUCCCUGGGACAGCUCCCCCAGACUAGG